RNAcentral lists this ribosomal RNA (468 nucleotides) under uncultured bacterium. RNAcentral describes it as "partial 16S ribosomal RNA". It matches the Rfam family "Bacterial small subunit ribosomal RNA", at positions 38 to 507 of the family's 1533-position model. The record is from RNAcentral.
GAAGAAAGAGGGAGGAGGGAGGAACACAGGCAAGUCGAACGGAAAGGCCCUGCUUUUGUGGGGUGCUCGAGUGGCGAACGGGUGAGUAACACGUGAGUAAAAUGCCCUUGACUUUGGGAUAACUUCAGGAAACUGGGGCUAAUACCGGAUAGGAGCUCCUGCUGCAUGGUGGGGGUUGGAAAGUUUCGGCGGUUGGGGAUGGACUCGCGGCUUAUCAGCUUGUUGGUGGGGUAGUGGCUUACCAAGGCUUUGACGGGGAGCCGGCCUGAGAGGGUGACCGGCCACAUUGGGACUGAGAUACGGCCCAGACUCCUACGGGAGGCAGCAGUGGGGAAUAUUGCACAAUGGGCGGAAGCCUGAUGCAGCAACGCCGCGUGCGGGAUGCCGGCCUUCGGUUUGUAAACCGCUUUCGCCUGUGACGAAGCGUGAGUGACGGUAAUGGGUAAAGAAGCCCCGGCUCCCUACGUU